RNAcentral lists this ribosomal RNA (254 nucleotides) under uncultured bacterium. Its description in RNAcentral is "partial 16S ribosomal RNA". It matches the Rfam family "Bacterial small subunit ribosomal RNA", at positions 524 to 776 of the family's 1533-position model. The record is from RNAcentral.
UACGUAGGGGGCGAGCGUUGUCCGGAUUCAUUGGGCGUAAAGAGCUCGUAGGCGGCUUGGCAAGUCGGGUGUGAAAACUCCAGGCUCAACCUGGAGACGCCACCCGAUACUGCCAUGGCUUGAGUCCGGUAGGGGACCACGGAAUUCCUGGUGUAGCGGUGAAAUGCGCAGAUAUCAGGAGGGACACCGGUGGCGAAGGCGGUGGUCUGGGCCGGUACUGACGCUGAGGAGCGAAAGCGUGGGGAGCAAACAGG